Molecule: long non-coding RNA, 236 nt
Filed under: Lathyrus oleraceus (garden pea)
Lineage: Eukaryota; Viridiplantae; Streptophyta; Magnoliopsida; Fabales; Fabaceae
Description: Pisum sativum (pea) long non-coding RNA (PSAT_LNC028748)
Source: RNAcentral
UAUAAAAGAGGGCCUUCUUCCAAAGGAAAAAUCAUCUUGGAAUACGACAAAAUACAGUACUGUGAAGCAAUCAAGUAUUACAGAGAUCAAGGCAUUCAGAGAGUUGAAGGUUUUCAUGUGCGGGAGCGAUUGAAGAUCAAAGUCAUCCAAUUACUUCUAAUGUGUAAUUUUUAUCUUGAAUUUGUUUUAAACACUAUGAAUAGCUAAACCCCUCAAUGUUAGGGGGUAUCCCUGAU